RNAcentral lists this ribosomal RNA (253 nucleotides) under uncultured bacterium. RNAcentral describes it as "partial 16S ribosomal RNA". It matches the Rfam family "Bacterial small subunit ribosomal RNA", at positions 524 to 776 of the family's 1533-position model. The record is from RNAcentral.
UACAGAGGUCUCAAGCGUUGUUCGGAUUCAUUGGGCGUAAAGGGUGCGUAGGCGGCGCGGUAAGUCGGGUGUGAAAUCUCGGAGCUUAACUCCGAAACUGCAUUCGAUACUGCCGUGCUUGAGGACUGGAGAGGAGACUGGAAUUUACGGUGUAGCGGUGAAAUGCGUAGAUAUCAGAAGGAACAUCAGUGGCGAAGGCGGCUUUCUGGACCAAUACUGACGAUCAGGUGCGAAAGCGUGGGGAGCAAACAGG